RNAcentral lists this ribosomal RNA (1445 nucleotides) under Dactylosternum dytiscoides. RNAcentral describes it as "SSU rRNA". It matches the Rfam family "Eukaryotic small subunit ribosomal RNA", at positions 423 to 1734 of the family's 1831-position model. Lineage: Eukaryota; Metazoa; Arthropoda; Insecta; Coleoptera; Hydrophilidae. The record is from RNAcentral.
AGGCAGCAGGCGCGCAAAUUACCCACUCCCGGCACGGGGAGGUAGUGACGAAAAAUAACGAUACGGGACUCAUCCGAGGCCCCGUAAUCGGAAUGAGUACACUCUAAACCCUUUAACGAGGAUCAAUUGGAGGGCAAGUCUGGUGCCAGCAGCCGCGGUAAUUCCAGCUCCAAUAGCGUAUAUUAAAGUUGUUGCGGUUAAAAAGCUCGUAGUCGAAUCUGUGUCUCGCGCCGCCGGUUCAUCGCUCGCGGUGUCUAACUGGCGUGCCGCGGGACGUCCUGCCGGUGGGCUCUGCCUCUUCGGGGGCGGCCCAACUUAGAAUCCCACCGCGGUGCUCUUUGCUGAGUGUCGGGGUGGGCCGGCACGUUUACUUUGAACAAAUUAGAGUGCUUAAAGCAGGCUAAAACUUCGCCUGAAUAUUCUGUGCAUGGAAUAAUGGAAUAGGACCUCGGUUCUAUUUUGUUGGUUUUCGGAACCCCGAGGUAAUGAUUAAUAGGAACGGAUGGGGGCAUUCGUAUUGCGACGUUAGAGGUGAAAUUCUUGGAUCGUCGCAAGACGGACGGAAGCGAAAGCAUUUGCCAAAAACGUUUUCAUUGAUCAAGAACGAAAGUUAGAGGUUCGAAGGCGAUCAGAUACCGCCCUAGUUCUAACCAUAAACGAUGCCAGCUAGCGAUCCGCCGACGUUCCUCCGAUGACUCGGCGGGCAGCUUCCGGGAAACCAAAGCUUUUGGGUUCCGGGGGAAGUAUGGACUCGGCGGGCAGCUUCCGGGAAACCAAAGCUUUUGGGUUCCGGGGGAAGUAUGGUUGCAAAGCUGAAACUUAAAGGAAUUGACGGAAGGGCACCACCAGGAGUGGAGCCUGCGGCUUAAUUUGACUCAACACGGGAAACCUCACCAGGCCCGGACACCGGAAGGAUUGACAGAUUGAGAGCUCUUUCUUGAUUCGGUGGGUGGUGGUGCAUGGCCGUUCUUAGUUGGUGGAGCGAUUUGUCUGGUUAAUUCCGAUAACGAACGAGACUCUAGCCUGCUAACUAGGCGUAUUUUCGACAUCUCAAAGGCCCCACGGCCCGGCGUUUUCGCGCCGCGGUCGCGCGCGGUUUUUACUGUCGGCGUACAAUCAAUUCUUCUUAGAGGGACAGGCGGCGUCUAGCCGCACGAGAUUGAGCAAUAACAGGUCUGUGAUGCCCUUAGAUGUUCUGGGCCGCACGCGCGCUACACUGAAGGAAUCAGCGUGUCCUCCCUGGCCGAGAGGCCCGGGUAACCCGCUGAACCUCCUUCGUGCUAGGGAUUGGGGCUUGCAAUUGUUCCCCAUGAACGAGGAAUUCCCAGUAAGCGCGAGUCAUAAGCUCGCGUUGAUUACGUCCCUGCCCUUUGUACACACCGCCCGUCGCUACUACCGAUUGAAUGAUUUAGUGAGGUCUUCGGACCGGUACGCGGCGGCGCUCC